RNAcentral lists this ribosomal RNA (147 nucleotides) under uncultured bacterium. RNAcentral's name for it is "partial 16S ribosomal RNA". It matches the Rfam family "Bacterial small subunit ribosomal RNA", at positions 349 to 510 of the family's 1533-position model. The record is from RNAcentral.
CAGCAGUGGGGAAUAUUGCACAAUGGGCGAAAGCCUGAUGCAGCAACGCCGCGUGAAGGAAGAAGGGUUUCGGCUCGUAAACUUCUAUCAACAGGGACGAAGACAAUGACGGUACCUGAGUAAGAAGCCCCGGCUAACUACGUGCCC